Molecule: long non-coding RNA, 4711 nt
Organism: Salmo salar (Atlantic salmon)
Lineage: Eukaryota; Metazoa; Chordata; Actinopteri; Salmoniformes; Salmonidae
Product: kinesin-like protein KIF15
Source: RefSeq, a predicted model, not a curated record
UUAGCCAAGCAAGGGAAGUUUACAACCUAAGCCCCUCAGCCCUCGUUUUUAGUCAGCUUUGCGAGUGUACAAUUACGUUCACUCCGGGGCCUGAAACUCCCCAUAACUCAAUUUGCGACAAUUCGUGCGCUAAGUCUGCGAAAACUUAAACAUCAAUGGAGAAGUCAACAUACAAGUGUGCUGGAGUACAAAGCCAAAACAACAAGAAGUGUCACUGUCCCAGUACUUUUGGAGCUCACUGUAUUCUGUUAUCAGAUUCAAAAUCUGGCAGUUGCUCAAUGCAGCAUGACCAAGUAACCAACAGUGGUGACACUGACUCGAUUAAAGUGUUUGUGCGGGUGAGACCUCUGAUCCAUGGGACCAGCCUAACCACUGAUGGAUACCAAGGUCUCUGUCACCUCUCCGAACACCAUCUGCCUGCACAUCAAUAUAACCAUGUUGCUGACAUCGACGUCACUCAGGAUUCUGUAUUCUCCUGUGUGGCCAAGAAUAUCGUUGUGUCAUGUAUGAAUGGAUACAAUGGCACCGUUUUUGCCUAAACUCUCUCGGAGGUAAUGUUAAGUCCUAGAUUAUAGCCAAUGUGCACCCAAGUGCUUUGGGGAAACUGUAUCCACCUUUCAAAUCGCCCAGAGAACCAAGUUGAUCAAAAACGAGGCCCUGAUCAACGAAGACAUGCAUGGGAACAUGAGGCAGCUACAGGCUGAGGCGGGAGUGGGAGCAGCCCCUGGAGCAGCAGUGGUCCCUGCAGGAUGCCUUUGACCAGAUCCAGGCCGAGGCCAAGUUUGAGGCAGACCAGUCCAGGCAGCAGCUAGAGGACAACCAGCAGGACAUCAUAGCUCAGCAGGCCCAAAUCACUGUCAGUCAGCUCCUUUUUAAACCAACCAAGCCCGCUUCUCUGUUAAGGACAUUCAGAGCCUACCUGUCUCAUUUGUAUGAAAUUACAGUUUAACCUCUAUGGAGGAUUGAGUGUGAUUCGUUUUUUAUUGAUGAAUAUGUUGGUUGAAUUGUAGGGAUUGACAAAAGCUCUUCAGUCUGAAAGAACACACAAACCAAUAUGACCUCCCAGUUGAGAGAGGCUAGAGAGAGCACUUUAGAGUGAGUUGUAUAAAGGCGUAUUUUCUGUUUGUGCAUGAUGAGACCUUUUUGAAGUGUAUUUUAAAUGUUUUGUUGACAUGUUUGAUUUGUUUCUCCCCAGAGAGCUUGUUCAGAAUAUGGAGCAGAAUGUAGUGCUAAAGAAGCAAGUGUCUGACUGGACAACACAAAACCAAAAAACAGACCUGUCCUUCAUUCAUUGUUAUUGUGUACAUGGUGGUUAAUGUAGUGUUUUAUUUAUAUUUCUUAGAAAUUGUUAUCACUAGUAUUGUUUUUAGUUUUGUCAAAUACAGUUAAACUAUUUGACAUAAUUGGAUCUUAAUCUCCAAUCAACUGUAAUUGGCCCGGUCUUCGUUUGUAUAUUUACUUUGAAAGACUUCUAAUAUGGCAAGCCUUGAACCAAAUCUGACAACUGCCAAUGGGACCAUAUCCAGCCUUGAAAAAAAGAUUGAACAAGAAAAAGUAAGUCUGCUCACUUAAAUUACCUGCCAUUAAUUACUAUUAUUUGGGGAUAUAAUUCAGUUUGCAUGUAUUUGAUACAUCUAAUCUCAGAAGUCUCUUGUUUUGUGUUGUUUGUCCUGGAGCUGAUCAACCAGGCCAGGGACCUCUGCAGUAAGCUGGGCCAGAAGGAUCAGGGCCUUGCUAUGCUGUUUGCAGGUGUCAAGGACCUUACGGAUAUGUACAAUGCUCCUUGCGCCGAGAGAGAGGAGCUCAAGGAACACAACUCCAGGAUGCAAGCAGAGCUCCAGGACCUGAGAGAAGCAGCAGAAAGGAAGGUAGCUUCUAAUCAGAGAGGUGGAGGUGUUACAGGAGGAGUUGGUCUAUGCCACUGAGGAGGUGGAGCGACUCACCAAGGUGUUAGAUGAGCAGGCAGGUCUUCUCCAAGCUUCACAGGAUCAGACUGCCCAGAAGGUGGCUACCACUCUCCAGGGGAAGUUAAAACAACAGCAAGAGGCGGUUCAGAGGACUGUCAGAGGGAACUCUGUCUGAUCAAGAGAGGGUUUAAUCGCUUAUCUGGUUGAUUUUAUCUGUCGGACACCUCACACCCCCUGAAGCUUCAACCCUGACCUGACUCUGGUGGUGGAGAGCCAGGAGAAGGAGCUGGAGAGCCGACGCUCCUCCAUGAUGACUAUGGAGGUGCCCCUCACUGAGUUUAACUAUGAAAGUGUCACGAAUCCCACCGAAGGUGGCUACCCUGCCUGCUCGAGCGGCGCUCGACGGUCGUCGUCGCCGGCCUACUAGCCACCGCUGAUCCCUUUUUCCUUUUCUGUUUGUUUAGUCUUAUUGGUUGCACCUUUUCCCUAUUGUGUUCUUGAUUUGUGUUUAUUUAAGCCUGCUUAGCCCGCCCAGGUUUGUGCGGGAUUACGUUUACUGUUGUGUGUAUUUUUGGAUGUGCUGGCUUACGCCUUGUAUUCUCUCUCCGGACUGUUUUGCCCGUUGUACUGGGUUGGUAAUUUGUUUUACGCGCCCGUUGGUUUUGGUGUUGACCGUUUUGUGCCGGGAAGAAUAAAGGUCGUUAUACUUCACCUCUGCUCUCUGCGCCUGACUCUACCACCACUCCUAGUAUCCCGUGACAGAAAGGGCCGCCAAGAACGAGGAGAUCCAGAAGCUCAAGGGUCAGCUGAAUGAGAAGGAAAUGGUGCGAAUGGAGAUUCAAGCUGUUCUUAACGAGUUCUACGCCAAGCAGAACCAACUGGCUCAGAAUGGGAACACAAAUGGGGAUGUUUUAAAUGAGGCCAUUCAUCAGAACGUCUUGAGAGAGCUGCAGGAGGAGAGGAGUGCAAUGAGAAUAGUCAUACUGAGGCUCAGGAAAGACUGACGAGUCAGAAAUCCCUGUUGGCCCAGUCUCAGACCAGUGUCCAGGAGCUGAGGAACCACUGCCUAGAGGUGAGCCGGAAGGAGCGAGACCAGGAGUGACUGCUUCAGCUAAUGUAUGGUGAUUUUAGUGAGAUGUCUGAAUGUCGGCAAACCUGCCCCCUACCGGUCUGAGGAUAACUGCAAGCUUGUGGACCAUAAGAACCAUAAGCAGAGGAUUGAGUACCUGGACAAGCUCAAAGAAGAACACCAAACCUCAAGUUGUAAUAAUCAUAUUUAACAUUUCAUCACCUGGCUGCAUGUUUACUUUUUGUAACUGUUAUAGUUACCAUCAAGAGACUUGGCCUCAGCAGUGAAAUACUGAGGGGGCAUUUCACUGCAUUUAUAGACAAUAAGUAACAAACACAAUUUUUCAAGGGAAAUAAAAACCUCAGAUCUGAAAUGAGUAUCUGAGAAAAUGCUUGGAGAGAUUCUCAUUGGCUGCUCAACAUUUCUUGUUGACUGUGAACAUGUCCCCCAAACAGAAAGCCUUUUCACCCUUUUUUAAGUUGACUAAUAACCGUGUUAUUGCAUCACAUAAUAGGAUAAACUGGUCAGUACAGUACAUUACCUGUUUGAAGUACUGUAAUUCUCUAAGAAAAAUGUCUUCAUGUUUUUUCAUAUUUCUGUAUGAAUAUAUUUCUACUAGGGCUGGGCAAUUCAUUGUUUAUAUUGUGAUAUGUAUAAUUGCGGUAUUCAUAUCAUUGGAUCUUAGUAUUUCACUACCUCUCUGCAGCAACUGUAGCCUCAUUUACAUUUAAGUCAUUUAGCAGACGCUCUUAUCCAGAGCGACUUACAGUAGUGAAUACCUACAUUUCAUGCAUUUUUUUUUGUACUGGCCCCCCGUGGGAAUCGAACCCACAACCCUGGCGUUGCACACACCAUGCUCUACCAACUGAGCCACAGGGAAGCCGCAGGGAAGCAACAGGGAAGGCCUCCCUGGGUCACAUUCAAAGGGAGGCUGUGCCACAGGCUCAGCUGCAUCGUCAUAUCAGAUGUUCAUUUCAGCAAUAAGGCCCAAGGUGGUGUGGUAUAUGGCCAAUAUACCACGGCUAAACCCCUGAGGUGCCUUAUUGCUAUUAUAAAUUGGUUGCCAACAUAAUUGAGUGAAAAUAGAUGUUUUGUCAUACCUGUGGUUUAUGGUCUGAUAUACCUCAGCCAAUCAGCAUUCAGGGCUCGAACCACCCAGUUAAUAAUUAUGGUUAUAUCAUCAUCCUUCAUAUUGUAUUAUAUGAAUUUUGGUGGUCCAUAUAUCGCCCAGCCCUAGUAUUUACCACAGGGGCUUUCAAUCACAGAUACCAUAUUUAGGGUAGAUUGUGACAUGAUUGAACAACUGUUAUGCUGGAUGAAAUAUAUUUUAGAACUGUAAAUUGACUGUGUAUAUGUAACAGUGUAGGUUCCGUCCCUCUCUUCGCCCCAACCCGGGCUCGAACAUCAUCAACUGACACCCCACGAAGCAUCGUUACCCAUCGCGCCACAAAAGCCGCGGCCCUUGCAACGCAAAGGGAAACCCUACUUCAAGUCUCAGAGCGAGUGACGUCACCGAUUGAAACGCUAUUAGCGCGCACCACCGCUAACUAACUAGCCAUUUCACAUCGGUUACAUAUACAUUUAAUCAGAUCAUCAUUCAUAAAGGCAAAUUCUGGAUGUUUUCCUAAUUGAUUCUGCCCUAGCAACAUAUCUAUUUUGUUUUUGCUAACAUCUGUAUCUUGUCUAUUUGUAUAGUUGUGUGACCAAUAAAAUGUGAUUUUAGUUUUAAUGUUAA